ACUUUCAACAACGGAUCUCUUGGUUCUCGCAUCGAUGAAGAACGCAGCGAAAUGCGAUAAGUAUUGUGAAUUGCAGAUUUUCGUGAAUCAUCGAAUCUUUGAACGCACAUUGCGCCCUGUAGUAUUCUACAGGGCAUGCCUGUUUGAGCGUCAUUU
This 156-nucleotide ribosomal RNA is filed under the name uncultured fungus. Its description in RNAcentral is "5.8S ribosomal RNA". It matches the Rfam family "5.8S ribosomal RNA". Rfam says of the family: 5.8S ribosomal RNA (5.8S rRNA) is a component of the large subunit of the eukaryotic ribosome. It is transcribed by RNA polymerase I as part of the 45S precursor that also contains 18S and 28S rRNA. Lineage: Eukaryota; Fungi. The record is from RNAcentral.